Molecule: long non-coding RNA, 844 nt
Filed under: Olea europaea (common olive)
Lineage: Eukaryota; Viridiplantae; Streptophyta; Magnoliopsida; Lamiales; Oleaceae
Description: long non-coding RNA (OEUR_LNC000464)
Source: RNAcentral
CCAUAUUGUUAAACAUACCAGCAAUGCUAGAACUCCAUAUGCAAAAUUGGGUUCUAAAGAGAAAAGUACUGUGUUUUAGAGAGAAAACUAUAGAUAAACAAUGGCAUUUACAACCCUUCGUAUAUAUCAGUUGUGUUUCUUACACUAAGUUCUGUAUCUAAUGCCCAUUCGUCGUCGAACCGGGCAACUUUACUGGCCUUCAAGUUCAACGCUACCCUGCAUGAGCCGUGCUUUGGCAUUUCCGACUUAUGGAUGGGUACUGACUAUUGCCAUAAAUGGUAUGGAGUGAGCUACGACUAGGAGACUCAUUGAGUUGUCGACAUCAACCUCCAGGGGAAUCAGAGGACUAGUUUACAGAAAAAAGUGUUGUCAUCUAAGUCUAACAUAAUGUAAAGCAAAAUCUUGAUAGACAAGAAUUAUGCAAUUGACUCAAAGAUUCGUAAUACUAUAUGCAAUGUAUGGAAUUAAUUAAUAAAAAACACUCAAUUAUUCAGAUCAUGUUAAGGAAUCUAAAAAUAAAAAUUUAACAUAUCAACAAUAGAUGAAAGUUACUGGUAUAUUCAUCAGUUAAUACCCACCAUAUUUCAUUAUUAAGAUCAAAAACAUCAUAUACCAUAUGUGUGUAUUGUAUAUCAAAAAAUGGGUUUUGUGCAGUAAUCGACACAGAAUAUAUGAUUGCAUACCUGAUAGAACAAAGAGGAAGAUUCCUAUCAUGCACAUGAAAACUAAUAGAACGGAGAGCAGAAUUUCAAUUAUUUGGGCACUGUAUGUUAUCCAUGAACUUGAAUUAAUCUUUGUUUUUGCACACGCAAUUAAUGAAAUUCUUAAAGUUUGCCAUUUUAAA